This 522-nucleotide long non-coding RNA is filed under the name Salvator merianae (Argentine black and white tegu). Its description in RNAcentral is "lncRNA (ENSSMRG00000008537.1)". Lineage: Eukaryota; Metazoa; Chordata; Lepidosauria; Squamata; Teiidae. The record is from RNAcentral.
GAGAAAAUUAAAGCUUAAUACCUUCAGAAGUGGGGGGAGAGAAUAUCUGAAGUUUUUUUUUUUUUUUAAAUGACCUUUCCUUGCAUAAUUUCGGAGGUAACCUAGCUGCGUAAUUAUAUUUGCACUUACAGAACGCUGCAUCACAGUCCCCUUAUUGGUUUGAAAUUCCAUUAAAUAUAUUGCAGAGCUCCUAGGUUAAGCUUGAUUUAAAUUUGCAUACAUUUUCAUAUAUUUAGCAGAAAUAAAAGAAGGCUUGCAGCUAACCGAAAGUCAUUAAGGCAUUAAGUUCUCUAGGAAGACAGAUCAGGAGAAAAAUUCAAGAAAAUGAAAAUACCUCCUUAAACAAGGGAGAUUCAGUGCACUGAACUUGAUAUCAGCAUCACGUAUAAAGCAUAAGAUCCAGUUUCAAUCCAUUUUCUGUGAUAUACACAGUGGUUCUGAAGGCCUUGAGUGUCUACAAUACCAACCACUAUCAACUGUUCCAAGGUAAACAGGAAAAGGUCUCAUCCAUCUGCUCAAUCC